Molecule: long non-coding RNA, 1845 nt
Organism: Mytilus californianus (California mussel)
Lineage: Eukaryota; Metazoa; Mollusca; Bivalvia; Mytilida; Mytilidae
Exons: 2
Source: RefSeq, a predicted model, not a curated record
CUUAAAAAACUUUUUUAAUGAAAAUAUUGUUAUUUUAUUGAAUUUGUGAAGUAAAAAUCCUGGCCCAUACUAUUUUUUUGUGAUAAAAAUGUUGUAUAUUAAAUAGCAGUAAGUUGUUAGAGCAUUUUCUGUAGACAUUAUAUUUUUUUAGGAAUUUGAAAAGAUUAUAUAAGUUAGGAAACUGAUUUCAGUAAUGUUUCUUUUUAACAAUGUUUUAACCAGAAAAUGUCAAUAACCUAUGACCACCAAUUUAUUUUUGAAAUAUAUGUACUUGUUUUUUUAUACAAAUAUACAUUUUUAUUAUUUUACUUUUUAUUUAUCAUAAAUAUUUUGUUUGUUUUUAUACAUUGAAUCAGACUAAAAUGAAUAGAGAAAUAUAAUAAUAUGUAGAUUUCUGUCCAUUACUGUCUGUUAUUGCAUGGUGUAGUUAUCCAUUAAAUAUUGAUGUGAAACCAUGGAAAUACUGUAGUGUUAACAUUGAUGUGCAACCAUGGAAAUACUGUAGUGUUAACAUUGAUGUGCAACCAUGGAAAUACUGUAGUGUUAACAUUGAUGUACAACCAUGGAAAUACUGUAGUGUUAACAUUGAUGUACAACCAUGGAAAUACUGUAGUGUUAACAUUGAUGUGCAACCAUGGACAUACUGUAGUGUUAACAUUGAUGUGCAACCAUGGAAAUAAUGUACUGUUAAGAUUGAUUUGCAACCAUGGAAGUACUGUUAAUAUUGAUGUUUAAUCAUGGAAGUACUGUGAAUAUGUAUGUACAACCAUGGAAAUACUGUUGAUCAUAAUUUAUGUGCAACUAUGGAAAUACUGUAACUAUUGAUGUGCAACCUUGAAAAUACUGUUAAUAUUGAUGUGCAACCGUGGAAAUACUGUUAACCUUGAUGUGCAAUAGUAUAUAUUUGUUAUAUACAUACUACACAUUGUAUUAAUAUUUAUUGUUUUGUGACACAUUUCUCAUAUGUCACAUGUCACCUGACCAUAGGUUUUCAUCAUAGUGAGGGUGUCAAAAUGGAAAAGUGAAAAUAUUUUAACUGGAAAUAUGUUAAAAUCUUUUCAAUUGGUUGAUUCACUGUUAGAGAGGUUAGACAGAUGAAUAGAAAAAUGUCACAUGCUAUGACUUUCUAACUCUCCACUUUGAAACAGUCUCUAUUUCAAAACUUCUGUAUGAUAAUGGGAGUAAAAUAUGAUGUUUACCAUAAUGAGAGUUUAAUCAUGUAAAAAAAGGAUAUUUUCACUAAUCCUGUAUAUUCUACUAUGGUCAAUGUUUACCCACAUCAUAUAAAAAUAAGAAGAUGUAGUAUGAUUGCCAAUAAAACAACUUUCCACAAUAGACCAAAUGACACAGAAAUUAACAACUAUAGGUCACCGUACGGCCUUCAACAAUGAGUAAAACCCAUACUGCAUUGUCAGCUGUAUUAGUUCUUUUACUAUUAACUACUUACUAUCUAUUUGUGUAUGUGUAUUAUUGACUUCUUUUUAUUUUAUAAACAUUGAAAAUAGGGGCUUGGCAUUUUUUCUAGUUUUUUGCUGUUGCUUUUCUUUAAAGGGGAGGGGUAAUUGAAAAAAAGUUCAUUUGUUUAUGGAAAACUUUUGACAAGUUGAAAAAAAUGUUGUUACAUUGCUAACAAUUAACUUAUUAUGUUGAUUUCUAUCCAGGAUCUUAAAGGAUUUUAAUGUUUUUUUAUACAAGUGUAUAUAUUUAUUUACAAUCAGGGAAUACAUUCAAGUUUGAGCAGAAGCUCAGGUUUUUACUUCAAUGUAUUAAUUAUCUGUUUCUAUUAUUGUUAGUAUUUGAUAUUUUCAUUUCAUUUUCUGUUAUAAAUAAACUUUAUCUUUUUAA